Molecule: non-coding RNA, 75 nt
Organism: Parelaphostrongylus tenuis
Lineage: Eukaryota; Metazoa; Nematoda; Chromadorea; Rhabditida; Metastrongylidae
Source: the annotation of a GenBank genome assembly
GCGUCAGUAGUGCAACAGGUUAGAUCACGCGCUCCGGGACAGAGUGAGGUGUGGGUUCGAGUCCCGCCUGACGCA